Molecule: ribosomal RNA, 549 nt
Filed under: uncultured Glomus
Lineage: Eukaryota; Fungi; Glomeromycota; Glomeromycetes; Glomerales; Glomeraceae
Description: partial 18S ribosomal RNA
Source: RNAcentral
GUUUCCCGUAAGGCGCCGAACGAGUCAAGAAAAGUUAACAUCGUCCGAUCCCUAGUCGGCAUAGUUUAUGGUUAAGACUACGACGGUAUCUGAUCGUCUUCGAUCCCCUAACUUUCGUUCUUGAUUAAUGAAAACAUCCUUGGCAAAUGCUUUCGCAGUAGUCAGUCUUCAAUAAAUCCAAGAAUUUCACCUCUGACAAUUGAAUACUAAUGCCCCCAACUAUCCCUAUUAAUCAUUACGUCGAUCCUAGAAACCAACAAAAUAAGAUCAAACGUCCUAUUUCAUUAUUCCAUGCUAAUGCAUUCAAGCGUUUGCCUGCUUUAAACACUCUAAUUUUUUCAAAGUAACAGUCCUGAUUCCCCGCAACACCAAAUUAAUGGCAUUACGGUUCUUCAAGAGGGAGGGACCACCGAGGCAAGUACAUACCAGUGGCACGACCAACCUGAUGAUCCCGAAAUUCAACUACGAGCUUUUUAACUGCAACAACUUUAAUAUACGCUAUUGGAGCUGGAAUUACCGCGGCUGCUGGCACCAGACUUGCCCUCCAAA